RNAcentral lists this ribosomal RNA (237 nucleotides) under Hepatozoon sp. RNAcentral describes it as "partial 18S ribosomal RNA". It matches the Rfam family "Eukaryotic small subunit ribosomal RNA", at positions 566 to 801 of the family's 1831-position model. Lineage: Eukaryota; Apicomplexa; Hepatozoidae. The record is from RNAcentral.
GCCAGCAGCCGCGGUAAUUCCAGCUCCAAUAGCGUAUAUUAAAAUUGUUGCAGUUAAAAAGCUCGUAGUUGAAUUUCUGCUAAAAAUAACCGGUCUGCUUUUAAUAAAGGUGGUAUCUUGGUGUGUUUUUAGCAAUAAUGUCCUUUGAAAUGUUUUUUACUUCAUUGUAAUUAAUUAUAUUCAGGAUUUUUACUUUGAGAAAAUUAGAGUGUUUCUAGCAGGCUAACGCUUUGAAUA